GUGGGGAAUUUUGGACAAUGGGCGCAAGCCUGAUCCAGCCAUGCCGUGUGUCUGAAGAAGGCCUUCGGGUUGUAAAGGACUUUUGUCAGGGAAGAAAAGGAUAGGGUUAAUACCCCUGUCUGAUGACGGUACCUGAAGAAUAAGCACCGGCUAACUACGUGCCAGCAGCCGCGGUAAUACGUAGGGUGCGAGCGUUAAUCGGAAUUACUGGGCGUAAAGCGGGCGCAGACGGUUACUUAAGCAGGAUGUGAAAUCCCCGGGCUCAACCUGGGAACUGCGUUCUGAACUGGGUGACUAGAGUGUGUCAGAGGGAGGUAGAAUUCCACGUGUAGCAGUGAAAUGCGUAGAGAUGUGGAGGAAUACCGAUGGCGAAGGCAGCCUCCUGGGAUAACACUGACGUUCAUGCCCGAAAGCGUGGGUAGCAAACAGAAUUAGAUACCCUGGUAGUCCACGCCCUAAACGAUGUCGAUUAGCUGUUGGGCAGCUUGACUGCUUAGUAGCGAAGCUAACGCGUGAAAUCGACCGCCUGGGGAGUACGGUCGCAAGAUUAA
Molecule: ribosomal RNA, 551 nt
Filed under: uncultured bacterium
Lineage: Bacteria
Description: bacterial SSU rRNA
Rfam family: Bacterial small subunit ribosomal RNA
Source: RNAcentral